This 197-nucleotide small nuclear RNA is filed under the name Erinaceus europaeus (western European hedgehog). Its description in RNAcentral is "7SK RNA". It matches the Rfam family "7SK RNA", at positions 1 to 189 of the family's 331-position model. Rfam says of the family: 7SK was discovered as an abundant small nuclear RNA in the mid-70s but a possible function has only recently been suggested. Two independent studies have found that 7SK RNA binds the CDK9/cyclin T complex (known as elongation factor P-TEFb). Lineage: Eukaryota; Metazoa; Chordata; Mammalia; Eulipotyphla; Erinaceidae. The record is from Rfam by way of RNAcentral.
GGAUGUGAGGGCGACCUGUCACCCCACUGAUCACCAGGGUUGAUUAGGCUGACCUGGCUGGCGGCGGGUGGCCCCUUCCUCACCUGCCCAUGUGCGGCCCUCCUGAAGCUGCGCGCUGGUCGGGUAGCUGCGCCCCCUGCUAGAACCUCCAAACAAGCUCUGCAACUAGAGGACAGUACAACACUCAGUGCCCAUGG